AGUUUGAUUCUGGCUCAGAUUGAACGCUGGCGGACAGCACACGCAUGCAAGUCGAACGCCAGCACGGACUUCGGUCUGGUGGCGAGUGGCGAACGGGUGAGUAAUGUAUCGGAACGUGCCUAGUGGCGGGGAUAACUACGCGAAAGCGUAGCUAAUACCGCAUACGCCCUUCGAAGGAAAAGCGGGGACCCUUCGGGCCUCGCACUAUUAGAGCGGCCGAUAUCGGAUUGGCUAGUUGGUGGGGUAACGGCUCACCAAGGCGACGAUCCGUAGCUGGUUUGAGAGGACGACCAGCCACACUGGGACUGGAGACACGGCCCAGACUCCUACAGAGGAGGCAGCAGUGAAAUUUUGGACAAUGGAAACCCUGAUCCAGCCAUCCGCGUGUGCGAUGAAGGCCUUCGGGUUGUAAAGCACUUUUGGCGGGAAAGAAACGGCACGGGAUAAUACCCCGUGCAACUGACAGUACCUGCAGAAUAAAACUCCAUUGCGAUGCCAGCAACCGCGGUAAUACGUAGGGUGCAAGCGUUAAUCGGAAUUACUGGGCGUAAAGCGUGCGCAGGCGUUCCGGAAGAAAGAUGUGAAAUCCCAGAGCUUAACUGCGAUUCAUUUUUAACUACCGAGCUAGAGUGUGUCAGAGGGAGGUGGAAUUCCGCGUGUAGCAGUGAAAUGCGUAGAUAUGCGGAGGAACACCGAUGGCAGGCAACCUCACAGGAUAACACUGACGGCAUGCACGAAAGCGUGGGGAGCAAACAGGAUUAGAUACCCUGGUAGUCCACGCCCUAAACGAUGUCAACUAGCUGUUGGGGCCUUCGGGCCUUGUGGCGCAGCUAACGCGUGAAGUUGACCGCCUGGAAAUACGGUCACAAGAUUAAAACUCAAAGGAAUUGACGGGGACCCGCACAAGCGGUGGAUGAUGUGGAUUAAUUCGAUGCAACGCGAAAAACCUUACCUACCCUUGACAUGUCUGGAAUCGAAGAGAUUUGGGAGUGCUCGCAAGAGAACCGGAACACAGGUGCUGCAUGGCUGUCGUCAGCUCGUGUCGUGAGAUGUUGGGUUAAGUCCCGCAACGAGCGCAACCCUUGUCAUUAGUUGCUACGAAAGGGCACUCUAAAUGCGGGCGCUGCCGGUGACUCAAACCGGAGGAAGGGUAGGGGAUGACGUCGAUCCUCAUGGCCAUAUGGUGGGAACCACACGUCAUACAAUGGUCAGGGACAGAGGGUCGCCAACCCACCAGGGGCCAAUCCCAGAAACCCGAUCGUAGUCCGGAUCCGCAGUCUGCAACUCGACUGCGUGAAGUCGGAAUCACUAGUAAUCGCGAAUCAGCAUGUCGCCAGUGGAAUACGUUCCCGGGUCUUGUACACCGCCCGUCACACCAUGGGAGUGGGUUUUACCAGAAGUAGUUAGCCUAACCGUAAGGAGGGCGAUUACCACGGUAGGAUUCAUGACUGGGGUGAAGUCGUAACAGGUAA
This 1472-nucleotide ribosomal RNA is filed under the name uncultured Bordetella sp. Its description in RNAcentral is "partial 16S-23S ribosomal RNA intergenic spacer". It matches the Rfam family "Bacterial small subunit ribosomal RNA". Lineage: Bacteria; Pseudomonadati; Pseudomonadota; Betaproteobacteria; Burkholderiales; Alcaligenaceae. The record is from RNAcentral.